AUGGCCGCCCCUGUGGAUCUUGAGUUGAAGAAGGCCUUCACAGAGCUUCACGCCAAAGUUAUUGACACUUAACAGAAGGCGAAGCUGGCAGACAUACAGAUUGAACAGCUAAACAGAACGAAAAAGCAUGCACAUCUUACAGAUACAGAGAUCAUGACUUUGGUAGAUGAGACUAACAUGUAUGACGGUAUAGGAAGAAUGUUUAUUCUUCAGUCCAAGGAAGCAAUUCACAAUCAACUGUUAGAGAAGCAAAAAAUAGCAGAAGAAAAAAUUAAAGAACUAGAACAGAAAAAGUCCUACCUGGAGCGGAGCGUUAAGGAAGCUGAGGACAACAUCAGGGAGAUGCUGAUGGCAGGAAGGGCCCAGUAGGAAGCCUCUCAGGGAAGCUCUUCCUCUUGCCCCUCCCAUUCCUGGUGGGGGCAGAGGAGUCUCUGCAGGGAAACAGCUCCUCCUCUGCCCCAUGGACACUUCAUCUGGAUGGCCUGGCAACGUCACAUUUUCUGCAUCACCCUGAGUCCCUUUUGCUUCCUAGCCCUGGAGCUUUUACCCUGGCUUUACCUCUCACCUUGGCCCAAGACACUCGUACCUCUCAGAGUGUGUGAUGAACUCCCAGGAGAGGGAAGAUGGGAGCCAGGGCAGAUAGGAAGCUCUGCCUGAGCUUUCCACUAGGCAUGCCAGCCAGACCAAUAAAA
RNA transcript from Cebus imitator (Panamanian white-faced capuchin), 692 nucleotides. It is a transcript of the gene named prefoldin subunit 1-like, with no coding region annotated. The record is from RefSeq and is a predicted model, not a curated record. Lineage: Eukaryota; Metazoa; Chordata; Mammalia; Primates; Cebidae. The transcript has a single exon.